Ruditapes philippinarum (Manila clam) is the source of this 792-nucleotide long non-coding RNA. RefSeq lists it as uncharacterized. Lineage: Eukaryota; Metazoa; Mollusca; Bivalvia; Venerida; Veneridae. The record is from RefSeq and is a predicted model, not a curated record. The transcript has 3 exons.
GUAAAAGUUAUUUUUUUGCGUAAAUUAUUGUUUCUUGUCAUUACAAUCAUAAUGUUUUGUUUUUAUUCAGUCGCCAGUUCUCUUGGAGUGGAGACCUUCAACUUCUGUUAAUCAGACUAUUACAACACUUAAAAAAGAACGUUACUAACUACGUAACAGAACAGUAGACACCUCAGACCUAGAUAUGUCUAUACCUUUUGAGGAGCCACAGCCUUCAUUCCAAGUUAAAGAUGAGGGUAUUUUAGAGGAAGAAUUCCCAGAGAAGGUCGCUCAACAAGCACAGGAUGCCCUGCUGGAGCUAAUUAAACAGCUACAGGAACAAAAUGGAAGUUUAGAAUGUAGACUGGGCGAAUAUGACACUUACCAUGUGAAGAAUUUACAUGAAUUACCUUCAUGAAGUCACAAAUACAGGGAACAGAAGAGGUAAAAUUGUUCAGUUCCUAUCUCCCAUUGUUUAAAUUUCAGUAUCAUUAAAAAAAUUAAUCGUUGUCUUCCUUUGUUUAUAUUUUAGUCUAAAUUUUUAGCAGAAUUAUCUCGCUAUGGACACUUGGGCAUAAACAAUUUCAUGUGAGUGUAACUUGCUACAUAUCACGAGGGAUUUCAACUAAACAUUCAUAGAAUAAGUUUAGUCAAGUGCCUUGGCAGAUAUUAUUGGAAUUUCUCAUUUGAACCAUUUUUGGCAGUAUUAUGGUCUUUUAUGGAUUUUUUACCCUAAGUCUGCUGACAGCCUGGAACCAUUCAUUGUCUGAACUGUCUGCUAUUUAAUCAGUACUUGUAUCAAAAUUUUCCAUU